Molecule: ribosomal RNA, 483 nt
Filed under: uncultured bacterium
Lineage: Bacteria
Description: partial 16S ribosomal RNA
Rfam family: Bacterial small subunit ribosomal RNA
Source: RNAcentral
GACGAACGCUGGCGGCGUGCUUAACACAUGCAAGUCGAACGAUGAAGCUGGAGCUUGCUCCGGUGGAUUAGUGGCGAACGGGUGAGUAACACGUGAGUAAUCUGCCCUUGACUCUGGGAUAACUGCGGGAAACUGUAGCUAAUACCGGAUACGACACCUUCGGGCAUCCGAUGGGUGUGGAAAGAAUUUCGGUCAAGGAUGAACUCGCGGCCUAUCAGCUAGUUGGUGAGGUAAUGGCUCACAAGGCGACGACGGGUAGCCGGCCUGAGAGGGUGACCGGCCACACUGGGACUGAGACACGGCCCAGACUCCUACGGGAGGCAGCAGUGGGGAAUAUUGCACAAUGGGCGAAAGCCUGAUGCAGCAACGCCGCGUGAGGGAUGAAGGCCUUCGGGUUGUAAACCUCUUUUAGUUGGGAAGAAGCGAAAGUGACGGUACCAACAGAAAAAGCACCGGCUAACUACGUGCCAGCCGCCGCAGUAA